CAAGCACCUAGGUCUUGGUAUGAUAGAUUAAGUAAGUAUUUACUAAACAAUGAUUUUAAAAAAGGCAAUGUAGAUAAAAUAUUAUUCAUAAAAAGAAGAUCAGAUGAUUUAUUGAUUGUGUAAUUAUAUGUUGAUGAUAUUGUAUUCAGUGCUACUAUGAAGUCUUGUGUAGAGAUUUUGCUAGACUUAUGUAGGGUGAGUACGAGAUGAGC
This 212-nucleotide long non-coding RNA is filed under the name Elaeis guineensis (African oil palm). Its description in RNAcentral is "long non-coding RNA (EGUI_LNC055481)". Lineage: Eukaryota; Viridiplantae; Streptophyta; Magnoliopsida; Arecales; Arecaceae. The record is from RNAcentral.